Molecule: ribosomal RNA, 424 nt
Filed under: Osteocephalus oophagus (oophagous slender-legged treefrog)
Lineage: Eukaryota; Metazoa; Chordata; Amphibia; Anura; Hylidae
Description: partial large subunit ribosomal RNA
Rfam family: Bacterial large subunit ribosomal RNA
Source: RNAcentral
CUUGAGUAACUAUAAGAGGUCCAGCCUGCCCAGUGACUUUGUUCAACGGCCGCGGUAUCCUAACCGUGCGAAGGUAGCGUAAUCACUUGUCUUUUAAAUGGGGACUUGUAUGAACGGCAUCACGAAGGUUAUACUGUCUCCUUUUUCUAAUCAGUGAAACUAAUCUUCCCGUGAAGAAGCGGGAAUAAACAUAUAAGACGAGAAGACCCUAUGGAGCUUUAAACUCAAUAACAAAUACUGACCUUACAUCAACUUUCAGAAGAUUCACCUUAAUUUUAGUAUUAUGAUUAUUAGUUUUAGGUUGGGGUGACCGCGGAGUAAAAAUUAACCUCCACAUUGAACGGGACCUAUCCCUGAGCCAAGAACUACAGCUCAAAGCACCAACAAAUUGACAUUAAUUGACCCAAUAUUUUGAUCAACGAAC